Molecule: non-coding RNA, 428 nt
Organism: Ictidomys tridecemlineatus (thirteen-lined ground squirrel)
Lineage: Eukaryota; Metazoa; Chordata; Mammalia; Rodentia; Sciuridae
Source: RefSeq, a predicted model, not a curated record
CUGGCUGCCAUCAGCAGCAGUCUCCUCGAGGUAGCAUGGCCUGUGGUAGCUCUGCCUCAUUUCUAACUCUGCCGACAUUUAAAGAUUUUAGUUUCCAGGAGAAAAUUGUUUCUGGGUGAAUGAAGAGAAUGAUUUUCUCCCCCUUCCUUCUCAAUUUCCGGGUUAAGCUGCUGAAACUCUGAAGGCUUAAGAACCUCAUCUACGCUUCUCAGGGACCCAGAGUGAAGGAAGUUGUUUGGAAGCCUGGCCCAUCACUUGCCUGUUCCCUGAAAGGAACAUCACCAUUGAUUCUAGAUCACGGAUGACUCAUGCCUGUGUUUGGAAUACUCUCCAGGUCUGCAGAGUCCUACACUAGCUCUUGAACUUGCAGGCUGCUUUCAAAGCGUCGUUGACUUGCCAACUGUAAAUGCUGUCUAAAUAUUUAUUUU